UACGGGGGGGGCAAGCGUUGUUCGGAAUUACUGGGCGUAAAGGGUGCGUAGGUGGUUGUUUAAGUCUGUUGUGAAAGCCCCGGGCUCAACCUGGGAAUGGCAAUGGAUACUGGACAGCUAGAGUGCGGUAGAGGGUAGUGGAAUUCCAGGUGUAGCGGUGAAAUGCGUAGAUAUCUGGAGGAACACCGGUGGCGAAGGCGGCAUUCUGGACCGAUAUUGACGCUGAGGAGCGAAAGCCAGGGGAGCAAACGGG
Molecule: ribosomal RNA, 253 nt
Filed under: uncultured bacterium
Lineage: Bacteria
Description: partial 16S ribosomal RNA
Rfam family: Bacterial small subunit ribosomal RNA
Source: RNAcentral